UUUAUAUCAUUAUUUAAAUUAUAUAUUAUAUUAAAUUAUAUAUGUAAUAAUGAUAGAAUUAGUAUAAUAGAUAUUUAGUUAUUAAGAACUCGGCAAUAUUGACUUUUACCUGUUUAAUAAAAACAUGUCUUUAUGAUUAGUUAUAUAAAGUCUGGCCUGCCCUAUGAUUUAUUAAAUGGCUGCAGUAUAUUGACUGUACAAAGGUAGCAUAAUAAUUUGUCUAUUAAUUGUAGGCUAGUAUGAAUGGUUAGAUAAGAAGUUAACUUUUUUAUAGUUAUAAUUAGAAUUUAACUUUGAAGUUAAAAGGCUUUAAUUUAUUUAAAGGACGAGAAGACCCUAUAGAACUUUAUAUAAGUUUCUAUUAUAUAAUAGAAACUUAUAUUGUACUGGGGAGGUAAUUAAAUUUUAUUAACUUUAAUAUAUUUAUUUCAUGAAUUAAUGAUUUGUUGAUCCAAUUUUUUGAUUGUGAGAUCAAGUUACCUUAGGGAUAACAGCGUAAUUUAGUUGGAAAGUUCAUAUUGAUAAUUAAGAUUGCGACCUCGAUGUUGAAUUAAGAUUAAUUAUAGGGGCAGUUUCUUAUAUAUUUGGUCUGUUCGACCAUUAAAAUCUUACAUGAUUUGAGUUUAGACCGGCGUGAGCCAGGUCGGAUUCUAUCCUUAAUUGAUAGUAACUUUUAGUACGAAAGGACCAGAGUUUACUUAAUAAUUAA
RNAcentral lists this ribosomal RNA (709 nucleotides) under Schizoptera sp. UCR ENT 00127103. Its description in RNAcentral is "partial large subunit ribosomal RNA". It matches the Rfam family "Bacterial large subunit ribosomal RNA", at positions 1683 to 2713 of the family's 2925-position model. Lineage: Eukaryota; Metazoa; Arthropoda; Insecta; Hemiptera; Schizopteridae. The record is from RNAcentral.